This 433-nucleotide ribosomal RNA is filed under the name uncultured bacterium. RNAcentral's name for it is "partial 16S ribosomal RNA". It matches the Rfam family "Bacterial small subunit ribosomal RNA", at positions 29 to 507 of the family's 1533-position model. The record is from RNAcentral.
AACGAACGCUGGCGGCAGGACUAACACAUGCAAGUCGAGCGGACCCUUCGGGGUUAGCGGCGGACGGGUGAGUAACGCGUGGGAAUAUGCCCUUCUCUACGGAAUAGUCCUGGGAAACUGGGGGUAAUACCGUAUACGCCCUUUGGGGGAAAGAUUUAUCGGGGAAGGAUUAGCCCGCGUUGGAUUAGGUAGUUGGUGGGGUAAUGGCCUACCAAGCCGACGAUCCAUAGCUGGUUUGAGAGGAUGAUCAGCCACACUGGGACUGAGACACGGCCCAGACUCCUACGGAAGGCAGCAGUGGGGAAUCUUAGACGAUGGAGGCAACCCUGAUCUAGCCAUGCCGCGUGAGUGAUGAAGGCCUUAGGGUUGUAAAGCUCUUUCAGCUGGGAAGAUAAUGACGGUACCAGCAGAAGAAGCCCCGGCUAACUCCGUG